GAAAUGCGAUAAGUAGUGUGAAUUGCAGAAUUCAGUGAAUCAUCGAAUCUUUGAACGCACAUUGCGCCCCCUGGUAUUCCGGGGGGCAUGCCUGUCCGAGCGUCAUUUCUGCCCUCAAGCACGGCUUGUGUGUUGGGCCCCGUCCUCCGAUCCCGGGGGACGGGCCCGAAAGGCAGCGGCGGCACCGCGUCCGGUCCUCGAGCGUAUGGGGCUUUGUCACCCGCUCUGUAGGCCCGGCCGGCGCUUGCCGAUCAACCCAAAUUUUUAUCCAGGUUGACCUCGGAUCAGGUAGGGAUACCCGCUGAACUUAAGC
This 313-nucleotide unclassified non-coding RNA is filed under the name plant metagenome. Its description in RNAcentral is "partial contains 5.8S ribosomal RNA, internal transcribed spacer 2, and large subunit ribosomal RNA". The stretch from base 1 to 105 matches the Rfam family "5.8S ribosomal RNA", at positions 50 to 154 of the family's 154-position model. The record is from RNAcentral.